GCCCAGACACUCAACACAGAGGAAGCAAAUUAAGAUGAAUCAUAUGUAGUGUGUCAAUAACAUUUUUCUUGUAAAAUUAGAACAUCUGAUCGAGGCGGGAAUUGCCAAACUCUGUCCUGUGAGCCAAAUCCAGCGCACCAUCCUGAGAAAUUCGCACCAAAGGAAUCUUUGCCAAGACCCAGGAGACUGGAACU
This 194-nucleotide long non-coding RNA is filed under the name Capra hircus (goat). RNAcentral describes it as "lncRNA (ENSCHIG00010031172.1)". The record is from RNAcentral. Lineage: Eukaryota; Metazoa; Chordata; Mammalia; Artiodactyla; Bovidae.